Molecule: ribosomal RNA, 279 nt
Filed under: uncultured Glomus
Lineage: Eukaryota; Fungi; Glomeromycota; Glomeromycetes; Glomerales; Glomeraceae
Description: partial 18S small subunit ribosomal RNA
Rfam family: Eukaryotic small subunit ribosomal RNA
Source: RNAcentral
CCAAUAGCGUAUAUUAAAGUUGUUGCAGUUAAAAAGCUCGUAGUUGAAUUUCGGGAUCAAUAUAUCGGUCGUGCCAUCGGUACGUACUGGUAUGAUUGGUUUCUCCUUUCUGACGAACCAUGAUGUCAUUAAUUUGGUGUUAUGGGAAGUUAGGACUGUUACUUUGAAAAAAUUAGAGUGUUUAAAGCAGGCUUUAGCUUGAAUACAUUAGCAUGGAAUAAUGAAAUAGGACGUUUGAUUCUAUUUUGUUGGUUUCUAGGAUCGACGUAAUGAUUAAUA